Molecule: ribosomal RNA, 284 nt
Filed under: uncultured bacterium
Lineage: Bacteria
Description: partial 16S ribosomal RNA
Rfam family: Bacterial small subunit ribosomal RNA
Source: RNAcentral
UACGUAGGGCGCAAGCGUUGUCCGGAAUUAUUGGGCGUAAAGAGCUCGUAGGCGGUUUGUCGCGUCUGCUGUGAAAGCCCCGGGGCUCAACCCCGGGUCUGCAGGUGGGUACGGGCAGACUAGAGUGCAGUAGGGGAGACUGGAAUUCCUGGGUGUAGCGGUGAAAUGCGCAGAUAUCAAGGAGGAACACCGAUGGCGAAGGCAGGGUCUCCUGGGCUGAGUUGACCUGACGCUGAGGAGCGAAAGCAUGGGGAGCGAAACAGGAUUGAGAUACCCGGGUAGUC